Molecule: ribosomal RNA, 492 nt
Filed under: uncultured bacterium
Lineage: Bacteria
Description: partial 16S ribosomal RNA
Rfam family: Bacterial small subunit ribosomal RNA
Source: RNAcentral
AGUGAACGCUGGCGGUAGGCCUAACACAUGCAAGUCGAACGGCAGCACAGUAAGAGCUUGCUCUUACGGGUGGCGAGUGGCGGACGGGUGAGGAAUACAUCGGAAUCUACUUUUUCGUGGGGGAUAACGUAGGGAAACUUACGCUAAUACCGCAUACGACCUACGGGUGGAAGCAGGGGAUCUUCGGACCUUGCGCGAUUGAAUGAGCCGAUGUCGGAUUAGCUAGUUGGCGGGGUAAAGGCCCACCAAGGCGACGAUCCGUAGCUGGUCUGAGAGGAUGAUCAGCCACACUGGAACUGAGACACGGUCCAGACUCCUACGGGAGGCAGCAGUGGGGAAUAUUGGACAAUGGGCGCAAGCCUGAUCCAGCCAUACCGCGUGGGUGAUGAAGGCCUUCGGGUUGUAAAGCCCUUUUGUUGGGAAAGAAAAGCAGCAGGUUAAUACCCCGCUGUUCUGACGGUACCCAAAGAAUAAGCACCGGCUAACUUCGUG